GUAAGACGUGUAUUUUAAUCUGUUUGCAGCCCUAUCCUGCCGUCUGGCCUUGGGGCAGAAUCAAAGGAGAACUGUGCCUGAGAACUAAAUGCAGACUGCGACCCACAUGUUAUAACUUACCCCAAAGUCCACGUUAGUCAAGAGACACUGUUCUGCUGCCAUGGGCCAUAGCUCCAUCAGCUCCUGCAGUCUCCUCCCAUCUGCGUCCUCAAAAGAAUUCAUAAAUUGGAAUGUCAUGCUUAUUCUUGUUUCUUUACUGCUACUAUCUACUUUGAAGUCCCCAGGACCAACAGAUUGUCGGUUGAAGGUUUGACCAUGAAUAUCAGCGUUUGUAAAGGGCCUGCCAGUUGAUAAAGAACUUUCACCUGCAUGAUUUCUUGUAAUCCUUUUACCACCAGGAAGACUAACUAGGAAAUCUUUGGCCAUUGUUCCUGAAGGGGGAAGAUGCAAGUGCUCUGCUCAGGGGAGCAGACCAGCACUGUGACUUCUCACACUGGUGGCACAACAAUGUCUGCAGAAGAAAGAAACAAGAAGUCCUACAGAGAUGAUAGUAGCAGAGACAAAGCAUGGGACUACACCUGUUGGUUUGGCUUACAGCUGGGAUUGGAGAGGAAAUUUAUUUCCAUGAAUGGAGAAGUGUCAGAGUGAGCAGGCACGUGGCACCUGAAGCCUGGGAACAGGCUCACGAGAAUAACGUCAGGGCGAAAUGACUGUUAGAGACUUUAGAAGAUCAAACACCCAACCAAACGUAAGGAAGUUACAUGGUGCUGUUAGUGCAGAAGCUUCUAAAUAGAUGCAAGAAUCAAAGCCUUCAAGAAGCUGAUGUGAUUGGCACUUGGAAUAGGUCUCUAUUAAUUCACAUGGACCAUAAAAGCAGUCUUAUCUAGAAUCUUCCAUUUACAGCCCUUGUUAUCUUCUCCCUUUAUUAUCACUUCUCUUCUGCCUGGCUUCCUAACUCUUGGGUACCUGACUCCGGUACAUAUGUAGCUUCUCAGCUGCGUUGUUUAUGGGGUGUCAGAUGCCUACAUAUCGAGAACUCUUCCUGUCUCUGGGAAUUAGAUGUGAAGAGACAGAAAACAGGGCACAAGACCAUGUACACCUUAGCUCCGAGUUAGAUCAUCUGAAAGCUAUGUUCCUGGACUUCGUUAUCUUAGCUUCCCACAGAAAAGCAUCCAACAAAUUAAGAUUGAAUAUCAUGUCUUCAGCUUUUAUAGAGGGCAGCUGACACAGAAAUGUACUUGUGAAGAACAAAUCUGGGUAUUCUGCAAAAGCAUAGUGGAGGACUUUAUCGUGUUACCCAAAGUCCUUUUUAUAAGAAUCUCUAAGGCUUUUGCUUUUCUGAGUGAACAUUAUAUUUACAGUGACAAGUAUAUCCCAUACAAUGGCAGGGGACUCAGGACCAAGUCUGGCCCCCGAUGGCAGCAUCUGUCACAUCCUGGUGACUGGUGGCAUUCAUUUAUUUGUUCUUUUCAACCAGUUUUGAUUCUGGUUUUAUUAUUUAUUUUUCUGUGGUAUAUUGUAGUUCAUUAUCUAAGUUGCCUCAAAUGUUUAUGGAUAUGUACGCAUGCAUUUUUCCCUGCUUACAUACUCAUCUACCUACCUGCUUAUCUACCUAUUUACUUAUCUACCUACCUAGGCAUUACCUGUCUUCCUAGCUAUGCAUGAGGUACCUAUCUCCAUCAACCUGGGCAUCCUUAAAGUAAUUGAGCUGUUUUUCUUUUCCUUCUUUGGCCUGAUUAUUCAGGCAUUUCCUACAAAUAAUUUGGAGGAAGCAGAGACAGAUGUACAAUGCAGCUUGACUGGGGGGCAGGAGACCUUGGGCUGGUUCCAGCUUUGCCUCAUGCUAAAUGUCGCAUCCUUGGUAAGUCACAUAGGUGUUUCAGUUUGGUCAUCUUUAAAGCGGGAUAAUUAUAUCCACUUUGCCUAUUGAACAGAAGACAUACGUGUUUUGGUAUGUUGACAUAUAUAAGGUGGGAGGGAAGGUGGUUUAUGGGGAUGAAGCCUUUGGCCAGUGGCCUGGGCAGCUCAGCUGGCAUCCUCAGGGUAUAAUUAGAGGGACUUGAAGGUCUUCUAAAUGCUUCCCUCCAUUAACCCUAACAUUUCCACUUUUAGAUUAGUUUUUCAGGAUCCCAAAGGAAAUUUGUGUAUUUUAUGGGUUAUUGACUGAGUGAAGUCAGAUUUCUAUUUAGCUUUAGCUCUGUUCCAUUUUUGCUAAAACUUUUGAAGAAAAUGAAUUACUUCUUAUUAAGUUUAGACUGCUACUAGCUUCGAUAUGGUUUGUAAAUUAGAAUAUCUUUUCAGAACAUAAUGUCAUGGUAGGAAUUUUCAGAGGAGCAUAUCUUCUGUGUCUGUUCUGUGUGGUCCACAGUUCACUGGUCUACGUCAGCACAGAUCUGGUCACCUUUUAAUGCUUCAGGGCAUGUGCCUUUUAGGAGAGAAAUAGGGCUCUCAGGUGAGAGCCCUGGGCCUGGGAUCACUGCUGUGGACCUUGAAGGCAAGAGCAGCUGGUGCCAAUAUGUUGAUGCUCAUGCCACCUGCUGUGUCAUGAGUAAUACAGUCCUUUGUUUCUGACCCAGGAGCUCGUGUCUCCUGCCAGCAUCCAUAAAGUAGAAUCAGGCUAACCUGUUUGUGUGUAAGUGGCAUAAAGUCUUUUCUUAGACCUGACAUCUAGCUUCCUGAAUUCUGGGCGGAGCUCCUUCCACAGGAACGCCUUCUGUAAAUACCUCAACCCAAGGAGAAGGAAAAGUAGUCACAAAGCUCAUCUGGUGAUAUGACUGGAUCUGCUCCACGUUCCUUCCUUUUGAUUUUCUGGGCCUGGGCCUCUGUUAGCAAGCCUUCGGUAGGUAUCAAUGGUAGUUGACUGGCUCAUUGGUAAAAAGAGAUCCCUAGAGGCAGUGGAGGCCAGCCAGUGGAAGUGAUAAGGAGGGAGCUGGGAAGAAGAGGGAGAAGGGAAAGGGGAGACAGAGGAUCAUUUGGCAAAGACAUUUACUGUCCCUUUACCAUUUUCUGUACCUGUCACACCAUGACAAAAGGAAUAAGGGUGGUGAAGUUGCUCUGCUGAGACAGCAGCAUCCUUGAGGAUCUAGAGAAUGGGGGACGGACGGCAGGGCUGGUGGCCUGUGGGGGACACCGUGUGAGGGAGGAGGACUGCUGGAAGAACAGCUCACUUGGGGAGAGAUCCCACUGUGUGGUCAGGUAGAAGAGGGGAAGCGAGGCCAGGGCAGCGUCGUGAUCUCACCCAGAAAAUAUCGAAGUUCAUUUUCACCUUGCUGACUAGUGCCCUUGUAAGAAUCCUAAAGAAAUCUUAGCCAGUGCAGAGAGCUCUAACCAGAAGUGAGUGUUCCAGGCCCUUUAAGCCCGAUGAGCCUCCUCACACACAUGGUCCACAGAACGUGAGGCCAACUCUCCCCAAGAAGUCUGAAAUGAUAGCAGGUGUUUUUCAAAAUAACUUUCCCUUUAUUGACUAAAGUAGAUAGGCCUCUGUCAUAAAAACUUUAAUUGCUCUUUAAAUAUUUGGCUAAAAUUGAGUCAUUUUCUUUCAGGGGAAGUUAGCAUUCUUAAAUCUCUAGCAAAUGAGAGGUUUGUAAAAAAUUUACCAAAGCACUCUUUGCGUGUAUACACAAUGGUUAAUGGUCAA
Molecule: long non-coding RNA, 3637 nt
Organism: Ailuropoda melanoleuca (giant panda)
Lineage: Eukaryota; Metazoa; Chordata; Mammalia; Carnivora; Ursidae
Exons: 4
Source: RefSeq, a predicted model, not a curated record